CCGUAUAGGGGAGCCGUAGAGAAAUCGAGUCUUAAUAGGGCGUUUAGUUGCUGGGUAUAGACCCGAAACCAGGCGAUCUAUCCAUGAGCAGGUUGAAGGUUGGGUAACACUAACUGGAGGACCGAACCCACUGUCGUUGAAAAGCCAGGGGAUGACUUGUGGAUAGGGGUGAAAGGCUAAUCAAGCCUGGUGAUAGCUGGUUCUCCCCGAAAGCUAUUUAGGUAGCGCCUCGGACGAAUACCAUAGGGGGUAGAGCACUGUUUCGGCUAGGGGGUCAUCCCGACUUACCAAACCGAUGCAAACUCCGAAUACCUAUGAGUACUAUCCGGGAGACAGACUGCGGGUGCUAACGUCCGUAGUCAAGAGGAAAACAAUCCAGACCGCCAGCUAAGGCCCCAAAAUCAUAGUUAAGUGGGAAACGAUGUGGGAAGGCAUAGACAGCUAGGAGGUUGGCUUAGAAGCAGCCACCCUUUAAAGAAAGCGUAAUAGCUCACUAGUCGAGUCGGCCUGCGCGGAAGAUGUAACGGGGCUAAAACUAUGUGCCGAAGCUGCGGAUGUAUACUUUGUAUACGUGGUAGGGGAGCGUUCUGUAAGCCGAUGAAGGUGUGUUGAGAAGCAUGCUGGAGGUAUCAGAAGUGCGAAUGCUGACGUGAGUAACGACAAAACGGGUGAAAAACCCGUUCGCCGAAAGACCAAGGGUUCCAGUCCAACGUUAAUCGGGGCUGGGUGAGUCGACCCCUAAGGCGAGGCCGAAAGGCGUAGUCGAUGGGAAAAUGGUUAAUAUUCCAUUACUUCUGUGUAAUGCGAUGAGAGGACGGAGAAGGCUAAAUCAGCCUGGCGUUGGUUGUCCAGGUGAAAGGAUGUAGGCAUGUAUCUUAGGCAAAUCCGGGGUACUCUAUGCUGAGAUCUGAUAGCAAGCUGUACUUGUACAGCGAAGUGGUUGAUGCCAUGCUUCCAGGAAAAGUCUCUAAGCUUCAGUUACACAGGAAUCGUACCCGAAACCGACACAGGUGGUCAGGUCGAGUAGACCAAGGCGCUUGAGAGAACUCUGCUGAAGGAACUAGGCAAAAUGGUACCGUAACUUCGGGAGAAGGUACGCUGUUGUUGGUGAUGGAACUGCUUCCUGAGCUGACGACAGCCGCAGAAACCAGGCCGCUGCAACUGUUUAUUAAAAACAUAGCACUCUGCAAACACGAAAGUGGACGUAUAGGGUGUGAUGCCUGCCCGGUGCUGGAAGGUUAAUUGAUGGGGUUAGCGUAAGCGAAGCUCUUGAUCGAAGCCCCAGUAAACGGCGGCCGUAACUAUAACGGUCCUAAGGUAGCGAAAUUCCUUGUCGGGUAAGUUCCGACCUGCACGAAUGGCAUAAUGAUGGCGGCGCUGUCUCCAGCAGAGGCUCAGUGAAAUCGAAAUCGCUGUGAAGAUGCAGUGUACCCGCGGCUAGACGGAAAGACCCCGUGAACCUUUACUGCAGCUUGACACUGAACUUUGACCUUACUUGUGUAGGAUAGGUGGGAGGCUUUGAAGCUGGAACGCUAGUUCCAGUGGAGCCGUCCUUGAAAUACCACCCUGGUAAUGUUGAGGUUCUAACUCUGUCCCGUGAUCCGGGACGAGGACCGUGUCUGGUGGGUAGUUUGACUGGGGCGGUCUCCUCCUAAAGAGUAACGGAGGAGUACGAAGGUGCGCUCAGCGUGGUCGGAAAUCACGCGUAGAGUAUAAAGGCAAAAGCGCGCUUAACUGCGAGACCCACAAGUCGAGCAGGUACGAAAGUAGGUCUUAGUGAUCCGGUGGUUCUGUAUGGAAGGGCCAUCGCUCAACGGAUAAAAGGUACUCUGGGGAUAACAGGCUGAUACCGCCCAAGAGUUCAUAUCGACGGCGGUGUUUGGCACCUCGAUGUCGGCUCAUCUCAUCCUGGGGCUGAAGCAGGUCCCAAGGGUAUGGCUGUUCGCCAUUUAAAGAGGUACGCGAGCUGGGUUUAGAACGUCGUGAGACAGUUCGGUCCCUAUCUACCGUGGGCGCUGGAAAUUUGAGAGGAUCUGCUCCUAGUACGAGAGGACCAGAGUGGACGAACCUCUGGUGUACCGGUUGUGACGCCAGUCGCAUCGCCGGGUAGCUAUGUUCGGAAGGGAUAACCGCUGAAAGCAUCUAAGCGGGAAGCCUACCUCAAGAUAAGAUUUCCCUAGGACUUUAUGUCCUCUAAAGAGCCGUUCGAGACUAGGACGUUGAUAGGUUGGAUGUGGAAGCAUAGUGAUAUGUGAAGCUGACCAAUACUAAUUGCUCGUGAGGCUUGACUAU
This 2292-nucleotide ribosomal RNA is filed under the name Acinetobacter baumannii OIFC047. RNAcentral's name for it is "bacterial LSU rRNA". It matches the Rfam family "Bacterial large subunit ribosomal RNA", at positions 653 to 2925 of the family's 2925-position model. The record is from RNAcentral. Lineage: Bacteria; Pseudomonadati; Pseudomonadota; Gammaproteobacteria; Moraxellales; Moraxellaceae.